AAGUAUUACAGAUGUUUUAGAAUUUGUCUAGCAGGUUUUCCAGUUUGUACCAGAAAACCCCU
Chlorocebus sabaeus (green monkey) is the source of this 62-nucleotide small nuclear RNA. Its record names the gene U7. It matches the Rfam family "U7 small nuclear RNA". From Rfam's summary of the family: Animal histone pre-mRNAs are spliced by a different mechanism than nuclear pre-mRNAs and self-splicing introns. This processing involves the U7 snRNP, which contains only one RNA species: U7. NCBI's taxonomy places the organism in Eukaryota, Metazoa, Chordata, Mammalia, Primates, Cercopithecidae. The record is from Ensembl.